Cucumis sativus (cucumber) is the source of this 495-nucleotide long non-coding RNA. RefSeq lists it as uncharacterized. NCBI's taxonomy places the organism in Eukaryota, Viridiplantae, Streptophyta, Magnoliopsida, Cucurbitales, Cucurbitaceae. The record is from RefSeq and is a predicted model, not a curated record. The transcript has 2 exons.
AAUAACACGAAGAAAGCUCUAAUCCUUGCUGAUUGGGAUAUGCACAGGUGACAACAAACUCACCUAAGUGAUUCCAUCCAUCAUCUCAGAUUACUCAGUGGAUAUGAAAAAACAAAGGAACUUGUUCAAGGGCAAACGAACGAUUAAGCGUUGCUGGAAUAAAGGUUCAAAGAAACCGACUUCAAAAGAACCAAUAUCCUUCACAAGUGAAGGUGAGGUAUGCAUUUCAUCUCUUUUAUUAAAAAGUAACAAAAGCAUUAUUGUAAUUGUUAGAUAAUUAAAAGAACUAUUGUGAUUGUUAGAUAACGUUGCUUUUUAGAACGAAUUUAUGGUGAAGUGGACCAUUUAGAUAUUUCGUGGUUUUAACUGACGCAUCAUGGUCACAUGUGUGUUUAUUAUCAGGUCGAAAUCUUGUAUUUGCAAGAUUAUUUGUCGAAAUAAUCGAAUUAAAAGCACAAUUUUCGGAUUAUACAAUAAAAACAUUCUACUUGAUAA